This is a long non-coding RNA of Oncorhynchus nerka (sockeye salmon), 1679 nucleotides long. RefSeq lists it as uncharacterized. The record is from RefSeq and is a predicted model, not a curated record. NCBI's taxonomy places the organism in Eukaryota, Metazoa, Chordata, Actinopteri, Salmoniformes, Salmonidae. The transcript has 2 exons.
AUCUUUUAUUCUCUACGUACGUCGCCUGGACUACUAUUCUGCCAGCAGCACUAAUGACGUCACUUUUCUAUGGACCUGAGCCCUAGGACCAUGCCCCAGGACUACCUGACAUGAUGACUCCUUGCUGUCCCCAGUCCACCUGGCAAUGCUGCUGCUCCAGUUUCAACUGGCCUGGGCCCUAGGACCAUGUCCCAGGACUACCUGACAUGAUGACUCCUUGCUGUCCCCAGUCCACCUGGCCAUGCUGCUGCUCCAGUUUCAACUGUUCUGUCUUACUAUUAUUCAACCAUGCUGGUCAUUUAUGAACAUUUGAACAUCUUGGCCACGUUCUGUUAUAAUCUCCACCCGGCACAGCCAGAAGAGGACUGGCCACCCCACAUAUGCUCUCUCUAAUUCUCUCUUUCUUUCUCUCUCUCGGAGGACCUGAGCCCUAGGACCGUGCCCCAGGACUACCUGACAUGAUGACUCCUUGCUGUCCCCAGUCCACCUGACUGUGCUGCUGCUCCAGUUUCAACUGUUCUGCCUUAUUAUUAUUCGACCAUGCUGGUCAUUUAUGAACAUUUGAACAUCUUGGUCAUGUUCUGUUAUAAUCUCUACCCGGCACAGCCAGAAGAGGACUGGCCACCCCACAUAGCCUGGUUCCUCUCUAGGUUUCUUCCUAGGUUUUGGCCUUUCUAGGGAGUUUUUCCUAGCCACCGUGCUUUUACACCUGCAUUGUUUGCUGUUUGGGGUUUUAGGCUGGGUUUCUGUACAGCACUUUGAGAUAUCAGCUGAUGUACGAAGGGCUAUAUAAAUAAAUUUGAUUUGAUUUGAUUUGAACUUUGUGGCAACAGUUAUGUUUCAGCAUGACAAUGCCUCCGUGCACAAACAAGGUCCACACAGAAGUGGUUUGUCGAGAUCGGUGUGGAAGAACUUGACUGGCUGCACAGAGCUUUGACCUCAACCCCAUUGAACACAUUUGGGAUGAACCGGAUCCAACUGCAAGCUUAAUCGCCCAACAUCAGUGCCCGACCUCACUAAUGCUCGUGGCUGGAUGGAAGCAAGUCCCCACAGCUAUGUUCCAACAUUUAGUGAAAAUCCUUCCCAGGAGAGUGGAGGCUGUUAUAGCAGCGAAGGGGGGACCAACUCCUUAUUAAUUCCCAUGAUUUUGGAAUGAGUUGUUCGACGAGCAGGUGUCGUUGUUGUGUAUUUAUCGGAAUAUCCUGCUUCCAGGAGAACGGUAAUGUCGCCUGGUGAGGCACAGACUCUUAGAUAUAACAACUCAACCCUCAUGUGGCCACAAGGAAGGACAGUUAAACUUGCCUUCUUUCAUUAAUAAAAAUUGAACAGGAAAAUCACAAUUUUGUUUCUUGCACACACCUUGAUGUGAAUUCAAUGCAUAAUGAAUUACAGUUUGACCAACAAUUUAGUUCAUGGAACAGCAGGGACUGUGAGGGGACACACACACAAACACGCACACUAACACUCACUUUAUACUUUUAGUUGUGUUGUUUGUAUUAUUAUUUUGUUGUUGUAUUGUUUAUCGUUGAAUUUGACAUUUGUGUGACUGUCCUUGUCUAUCAGUGUAUCAGUUACUAGUCAUGAUUUGUGUUUUGUGUGGACCCCAGGAAGAAUAGCUGCUGCUUCGUCAAAAGCAGGGGAUCCGAAUAAACCAAUUAGAUGAAACCAGCUGAUAAUGA